RNAcentral lists this ribosomal RNA (270 nucleotides) under uncultured archaeon. Its description in RNAcentral is "partial 16S ribosomal RNA". It matches the Rfam family "Archaeal small subunit ribosomal RNA", at positions 477 to 747 of the family's 1478-position model. The record is from RNAcentral.
CGGCACCUCAAGUGGUCAGGAUGAUUAUUGGGCCUAAAGCAUCCGUAGCCGGCUCUGUAAGUUUUCGGUUAAAUCUGUAUGCUCAACAUACAGGCUGCCGGGAAUACUGCAGAGCUGGGGAGUGGGAGAGGUAGACGGUACUCGGUAGGAAGGGGUAAAAUCCUUUGAUCUAUUGAUGACCACCUGUGGCGAAGGCGGUCUACCAGAACACGUCCGACGGUGAGGGAUGAAAGCUGGGGGAGCAAACCGGAUUAGAGACCCGAGUAGUCC